RNAcentral lists this ribosomal RNA (440 nucleotides) under uncultured bacterium. RNAcentral describes it as "partial 16S ribosomal RNA". It matches the Rfam family "Bacterial small subunit ribosomal RNA", at positions 338 to 795 of the family's 1533-position model. The record is from RNAcentral.
CCUACGGGAGGCAGCAGUGGGGAAUAUUGCACAAUGGGGGGAACCCUGAUGCAGCAAUGCCGCGUGGGUGAAGAAGCACUCCGGUGCGUAAAGCCCUGUCAGCAGGGAAGAAAAUGACAGUACCUGGCCAAGAAGCCCCGGCUAACUACGUGCCAGCAGCCGCGGUAAUACGUGGGGGGCAAGGGUUAUCCGGAUUCACUGGGAGGAAAGGGGGCGUGGGGGGCCAUGCAAGCCAGGGGUGAAAGCCCGGGGCCCACCCCCGGGACUGCCCUUGGAACUGCAUGGCUGGAGUGCGGGAGGGGCAGGCGGAAUUCCUGGUGUAGCGGUGAAAUGCGUAGAGAUCAGGAGGAACACCGGCGGCGAAGGCGGCCUGCUGGACCGCGACUGACGUUGAGGCUCGAAAGCGUGGGGAGCGAACAGGAUUAGAUACCCUUGUAGUC